CAGCAGCGCGGUAAAACGGAGGGGGCUAGCGUUGUUCGGAAUUACUGGGCGUAAAGCGCACGUAGGCGGCUGUGUAAGUCAGAGGUGAAAGCCCGGGGCUCAACCCCGGAAUAGCCUUUGAGACUGCAUAGCUUGAACACGGGAGAGGUGAGUGGAAUUCCGAGUGUAGAGGUGAAAUUCGUAGAUAUUCGGAAGAACACCAGUGGCGAAGGCGGCUCACUGGACCGUUGUUGACGCUGAGGUGCGAAAGCGUGGGGAGCAAACAGGAUUAGAUACCCGGGUAGUCCCUGUCUCUUAUACC
Molecule: ribosomal RNA, 301 nt
Filed under: uncultured bacterium
Lineage: Bacteria
Description: partial 16S ribosomal RNA
Rfam family: Bacterial small subunit ribosomal RNA
Source: RNAcentral